RNAcentral lists this ribosomal RNA (465 nucleotides) under uncultured bacterium. RNAcentral describes it as "partial 16S ribosomal RNA". It matches the Rfam family "Bacterial small subunit ribosomal RNA", at positions 28 to 507 of the family's 1533-position model. The record is from RNAcentral.
GACGAACGCUGGCGGCGUGCUUAACACAUGCAAGUCGAACGGAAAGGCCCUGCUUGCAGGGUACUCGAGUGGCGAACGGGUGAGUAACACGUGGGUGAUCUGCCCUGCACUUCGGGAUAAGCCUGGUAAACUGGGUCUAAUACCGGAUAGGAGCCAUUUUUAGUGUGAUGGUUGGAAAGUUUUUUCGGUGUAGGAUGAGCUCGCGGCCUAUCAGCUUGUUGGUGGGGUAAUGGCCUACCAAGGCGGCGACGGGUAGCCGGCCUGAGAGGGUGGACGGCCACAUUGGGACUGAGAGAAGGCACAGACUCCUACGGGAGGCAGAAGUGGGGAAUAUUGAACAAGGGGCGCAAGCGUGAUGCAGCGACGCCGCGUGGGGGAGGACGGCCUUCGGGUUGUAAACUCCUUUCGCUAGGGACGAAGCUUUUUGUGACGGUACCUAGAUAAGAAGCACCGGCUAACUACGUG